Molecule: ribosomal RNA, 400 nt
Filed under: uncultured bacterium
Lineage: Bacteria
Description: bacterial SSU rRNA
Rfam family: Bacterial small subunit ribosomal RNA
Source: RNAcentral
UUAGGAAUCUUCCACAAUGGGCGAAAGCCUGAUGGAGCGACGCCGCGUGAGGGAUGAAGGCCUUAGGGUUGUAAACCUCUAAAAGAGGGACGAUAAUGACGGUACCUCUUGAAUAGCACCGGCUAACUCCGUGCCAGCAGCCGCGGUAAUACGGAGGGUGCAAGCGUUAUCCGGAAUCACUGGGCGUAAAGGGCGCGUAGGCGGUCUGUUAAGUCCGAUGUUAAAUCCCGGGGCUCAACCCCGGAUAAGCGUUGGAUACUGGCAGGCUAGACGGUUGGAGAGGCGAGUGGAAUUACCAGUGUAGCGGUGGAAUGCGUAGAUACUGGUAGGAACACCCAUUGCGAAGGCAGCUCGCUGGACAACACGUGACGCUGAGGCGCGAAAGUGUGGGGAGCAAACC